Molecule: ribosomal RNA, 280 nt
Filed under: Chlamydomonas noctigama
Lineage: Eukaryota; Viridiplantae; Chlorophyta; Chlorophyceae; Chlamydomonadales; Chlamydomonadaceae
Description: large subunit rRNA alpha
Rfam family: Bacterial large subunit ribosomal RNA
Source: RNAcentral
UCAAAUGAAUUAAGGCUUACGGCGGAGACCUAGGCACCCAGAGACGAAGAAGGGCGCAGAUACCGGCGAUACGCUUCGGGGAGCUGGUAACAAGCUUUGAUCCGAAGAUUCCCGAAUAGGGCAACCUCAAGAACUUCCUACAAAUUCAUAAGUAGGAUAGAGACAACCCGGUGAAUUGAAACAUCUUAGUAGCUGGAGGAAAAGAAAGCAAACGCGAUUCCCGUAGUAGCGGCGAGCGAACCGGGAUUAGCCUAAACCUGUAAAAAGGGGUAGUGGGAAG